This 22-nucleotide non-coding RNA is filed under the name Arabidopsis thaliana (thale cress). Lineage: Eukaryota; Viridiplantae; Streptophyta; Magnoliopsida; Brassicales; Brassicaceae. The record is from RNAcentral.
UCGAUGAGUAGGAGGGCGCGGC